Molecule: ribosomal RNA, 497 nt
Filed under: uncultured bacterium
Lineage: Bacteria
Description: partial 16S ribosomal RNA
Rfam family: Bacterial small subunit ribosomal RNA
Source: RNAcentral
GACGAACGCUGGCGGCGUGCCUAAUACAUGCAAGUUGAGCGAUGAAGAUUGGUGCUUGCCCCAAUUUGAAGAGCAGCGAACGGGUGAGUAACGCGUGGGGAAUCUGCCUUUGAGCGGGGGACAACAUUUGGAAACGAAUGCUAAUACCGCAUAACAACUUUAAACAUAAGUUUUAAGUUUGAAAGAUGCAAUUGCAUCACUCAAAGAUGAUCCCGCGUUGUAUUAGCUAGUUGGUGAGGUAAAGGCUCACCAAGGCGAUGAUACAUAGCCGACCUGAGAGGGUGAUCGGCCACAUUGGGACUGAGACACGGCCCAAACGCCUACGGGAGGCAGCAGUAGGGAAUCUUCGGCAAGGGACGAAAGUCUGACCGAGCAACGCCGCGGGAGUGAAGAAGGUUGUCGGAUCGUAAAACUCUGUUGGUAGAGAAGAACGUUGGUGAGAGUGGAAAGCUCAUCAAGUGACGGUAACUACCCAGAAAGGGACGGCUAACUACGUG